RNAcentral lists this ribosomal RNA (260 nucleotides) under uncultured prokaryote. Its description in RNAcentral is "partial 16S ribosomal RNA". It matches the Rfam family "Bacterial small subunit ribosomal RNA", at positions 355 to 606 of the family's 1533-position model. The record is from RNAcentral.
UGAGGAAUUUUGCGCAAUGGGCGCAAUCCUGACGCAGCAACGCCGCGUGGGUGAUGAAGGCCUUCGGGUCGUAAAGCCCUGUCAGGUGGGAAGAAUGUCCUGGAAUUGAACAGGUUCCGGGAGUGACGGUACCACCAGAGGAAGCACCGGCUAACUCCGUGCCAGCAGCCGCGGUCAUCCGGAGGGUGCAAGCGUUAUUCGGAAUUACUGGGCGUAAAGCGCGUGUAGGCGGUCCUGCAAGUCUGAUGUGAAAGCCCCGG